GAAUAAAAGAAUUUUAGACUUUAUAAUUCUUCACAUGAAUAAUCUCUAUAAAGUGGUCGAAAGUACAACUUUUUGAUUUUAUUUCAUCUCUAAGAAUAUCACUUUAAAAUAUUGUUUAUUAAAACUAAACACUCUAAAAUCCAUACCCACUCUGUUGUGCUGUCUUCUGCAAAAGAAACUUAAGAAUUUGGGCUUGGAGCCAUUUGGAAUCCCAUCAUCUGCACUUAUUAGCUGUAUAACAUUGGCCAUAUUAUUUAACCAUGAUGAGCUUAACUUUGCUCUUUCUUUAGUGGAAGUGAUUGGUUUUUUUGUUUUUUGAGGAUAAGUUAGAUACUGCAUGUGGUAAGUGCUUAAUGAGUUGCAGUAAUGCUGAGGCUCUAAUAACAUUUUAUUUUUUUAUUUUUAUUUUGCUUUCAUAACAUUUUAAAAUGCCAUUGCUUUUGGUUUUGUAUCUCUUCUUCUCAAGAGGAACUUAUGCUCUGAUUUAUCUGUACUUAUUUAUAGCUGCUAUUAGAGUAAACAAUGUGACCUUCCUCGACAAAAUUGAGCCCCUGUCCCUAAUGGAACUUUUUAACUUUUAAUCCUCAGCACUGAGUGGUAUCCACUCCUUGUAACAUGCUGCAGUAAUUAAUUGAAGGGCAAAAUCAUGAUAAUCUUGACAGAUGCAGAAAAUGUACAUGAUGAAAUUCAACAUUCAUUUAUGAUGAAAAAAUGCUCUUAGCAAACCUGUUUAAAACAGACAUUCAAUGAUCUAAUAAUGGAUGUCUACAACAAGCAAAAUGACAAAAUAUUUAGUGAUGAGAUAAUGAGAUUAUUCCCUUCGAAAUUGGGAACAAGGAAGGAUAUUAUCACUCCUAUUCAACAGUUGCUCAAGUUCAUAGUAAUGCAGCAGGCAACACAAAAGACAUGAAAUUGUAUAAAGUUUUGAAACGAAAAUAUAAAAGUAAUUUUUUUUUUUUUAGGGCCGCACCUGCAGCAUACGGAAGUUCCCAGGCUAGGGGUUGAGUCAGAGCUGCAGCUGCUGGCUUGCACCACAGCCACAACAAUGUGGGAUCUGAGCCACAUUUGCAACCUAUACCACAGUUCACAGAAACACUGGAUCCUUAACCCACUGAGCAAAACCAGGGAUCAAACCUGCAUCCUCAUGGAUACUAGUCAAGUUCACUGGGACACAAAGGGACCUCCUGAAAAAUUUUAAAAUCAAUUUCUAAGACAACUUACAGAAUGGGAGAAAAUAGUUGAAAAUGAUACAACUGACAAGGGCUUAAUCUCUAAAAUAUUCAAACAACUUAUAGAACUCAACAGCAAAGAUACCAACAACCCAACUGAAGAAUGGGCAGAAGACCUGAACAGACAUUUCUCCAAAGAAGAUAUACAGGUGGCUAACAAGCACAUGCAAAAAUGCUCAACAUCACUGAUUAUUAGGGAAAUGCACAUCAAAAUUACUAUGAGGUGUACCACCUCAUGCCAGUCAGAAUGGCCAUCAUUAAUAAGUCCACAAAUAACAAAUGUUGGAGAGAGUGUGGAGAAAAGGGAAUCCUUCUGCACUGUUGGUGGGAAUGUAAAUUGGUACAACCAGUAUGGAGAACAGUAUGGAGGUACUUUAGAAAACUAUACAUAGAGCUACCAUAUGACCCAGAUAUCCCACUCUUUGGCAUAUAUCUAGACAGAACUUUCCUUGAAAAAUACACAUGCACCUGUAUGUUUAUUGCAACACUAUUCACAAUAGCCAACACAUAGAAACAACCCAAAUGUCCAUCGACAGAUGACUGGACUAGGAAGAUGUGGUAUAUAUCACAAUGGAAUACUCCUCAGCCAUAAAAAGAACAAAAUGCCAUAUGCAGCAACAUGGUUGGAACUAGAGACUUUCAUCCUGAGUGAAGUAAGUCAGAAAGAGAAAGACAGAUACCAUAUGAUAUCACUUAUAUCUGGAAUCUAAUAUAAGGCACAAAUGAAUCUUUCCACAGAAAAGAAAAUCAUGGACUUGGAGAAUAGACUUGUGGUUGCCUAGGGGGAAGGGGAGGGAGUGGGAUGGAUUGGGAAUUUGGGGUUAAUAAUAGAUGCAAACUAUUGCCUUUGGAUGAAUAAGCAAUGAUAUCCUGCUGUAUAGCACUGGGAACUAUGUCUAGUCACUUAUGGCGGAGCAUGAUAAUGUGAGAAAAAGGAAUGUUUAUGUGUAUGUGUGACUGGGUCACCUUGCUGCAUAGUAGAAAACUGACAGAACACUGUAAACCAGCUAUAAUGGAAAAAAAUCAUUAAAUAAAAGAAAUAAAGGAAGGGAAAAUAAAAAUAAUAAAAUCAAUUUCUAUACAUCAGAAAGUGUCAGGAAAUUAAAUUUAGCAUAUGCUUUUAUAAUUACAUCAUAAUAUUAAAUAUCUAGUAAUCUGCUAGACUUAUAUACAAAAAUUGCAAUCGCUAAGAGAUAUUAAAUAAAAUCUAAAUCUAAAUUAUGUUAUAAAAUAUAAAUGGAUUGGAAAACUCAAUCUUAUAUCAAUUGUCCAUGAAAUGCUGCAAUCUAAACUCAACAAUUUUUAAAAAUUUGGUGAGCUGAUUGUAAAGUUUACAAGGAAAUGUGAAGGACUUAAGAGAGCCAUGAUUUUUUUGAAGAAUAAAUAUGAGAUGAGAGGACUUAUUCUCAGAUGCCAAAAUAUUAUAAAGCUACAAUAAUUAAGGCAGUGUAGUAUGGGUCAUGAAUAGACAAAUAGACCAAUGUAGAUUUGAAAUAAACCGAAGAAAUCAGGAAUCAUCUGCCACAUAUGGGAACAGUUGCCUCUGUGAAACAAAGCUCUGAGAUCUGGCUGGACUCCACUUUGCAUGGGCAGAUGCUUGAUUAUAGGCUCUGGGGGCCAAGGGAAGCUAUAUUAUGAUAUGCUGCACUUAAUUCUGCCUGGUAUGGCCACCUUGCUCCCAUUAAGCUUUAAAGCCUUUGUCAAGAAGCUUAAUUCUGUAGCUCAUCUGACUGUUUCAAAUAUUUUUGGUAUGAGGACAAGCCUGACUAGAAUUGAGACAAAUGCCAAGAUUCUUAAAGAGAGAAAGGGGACCAGAGUAUUCUGUCAAUCUUUUUUUCUUUUACUUUUUAGGGCCAAACCUGCAGCAUAUGGAAGUUUCCAGGCUAGGGGUUGAAUCAGAGCUACAGCUGCCAGCCUAUGCCACAGCCACAGCAACACAGGAUCUGAGCCACGUCUGCGACCUACACCACAGCUCAAGGCAACACCAGAUCCCUGACCCACUGAGCAAGACCAGGGAUCAAACCUGCAUCCUCAUGGAUACUAGUCAGGUUUGUUACCCCUGAGCCACAGCAGGAACUCCUUUUGGGGGCAGUUUUUAUGGGCAAGUCAUAUCAGUUGAAUUGUCUUCUAAACCCGUAUUUUCCAAUGGUAGAGCUUUGGGGAUAAAGAGGAACGAUGUGAUAACAAACAGUAGAUAGAUCCCCAGUAGCUCCCAAUCCUGGUAGCCAAGUGCUAGGAGUAUAAACCAGCCAAGUUGUAAGGAUGUAAUUAAGGAAGUUGAGAGUGCAAAGGCAGGCAGGGUAUGACAAGUGAAAGUCUCACCUCUGGGAACCUGUCAAGAUAACACUGAGGAAAGAAGAAAGGUCUGAGCUUCUCUCAGGUGCCUGCCAGACUGACAGUGGUGACUUUUCAAUUAGAAAUUAAAUAAAUGCCACAAGUGUGGAUUCAGGAAGAUGAGAGAAUGGAGCUUCCCUGACCCAACUCUCUGUGUGGGAGGGGCUAAAAAUACAGGGGCUGAGUAUAAGCCAAGCACAUUUUUUUGUGUCUAUACUACUGUUUUAUUUCAGAAAAACUCUGUCUUUAUAUGCAGGUUAAUCUUUUUUAUUCUUACAGAUAGCUCUUUCGCCUUGUGAAAGGAGCUAGACCAGACUGUCACUGAAUUACUGUAUGCAGUAUUCUGAGAUGUUUGAGAUUUUUUCUUAAAAAUUUUGUUGAGGUGAUAAGGUCUCAAAUAAUUUUCUACUUGGAAAAGAUACUUUUAAAGUAGGGCAUUAAGGAUGCCUAACAAAGACAUAGAUAAUUUAUUAGUAAAUUAUAAAAAUAUAUUGUACAUGUUUUCUUAAGGAAAAUAUUACCUUGUUGGAUGAGAACUGAGAAAAAGCAGUAGAGAGAAAUAUUCUGGAGAAAAACAAUGGACCUAAAAAGUUUUCCACUAAACAGAAAGUACAGAGGCCAGUGUCAGGUAUAGCUGGAUCCAGAUGCUCUCACAAUAUGACCAGAAAACUAACUGUAUUCAUUUCUGAGCUUCUUGCAUUUUUAUUUUCAUUCUCUAAAAAACUCUUCCCACCUGGUGGUAAAGAUGGACAGAAAAAACUCAAGUCUUUAUUCUAUCAUAUUCACAACUCUAGCAAAAUAAAUACAUCCCUUUUAUGAUUAUAUUAUUAAAAGUCUUUGAAUUGGCUCUGGUUUUCCAGGCCUGCGUGAUUGGGGCUGGGGUCAGUCUAAUCUGAAUCACGUAGACAAAAUUGUGCAAGAGUGCUGUGCUGAUGAACAUUUUUUUCCACUGCAAAAUAAUCACUAAGUGGAAGUGUGAUAAGUAUCUAUUGCUUAGAAAAUAUUUGUCAUGCUUCUAAUGUCCCCAGUCUUGCCAAUAUGCCUGCCUGGCUCUUAGAAGACAGUUGGGUUGUCUUCACUAGUGAAGUCUCCCUCCUUUUCAGGUAUACACACUUCCAGAUGGGUAAAGCCCAUGGAACCUGUGGUGUGCCAUAUUUUUUUUCCAUGAAAAUUUUAGUGAUUUAAAACCAGUGGUGUUUUUCAGGUCAUUGUGUUUCCAUUUAAUAAAGUACUUAAUAUGAGAAUUUUAAAGUUGGGAUCAGUACUCCAUAUUUUGGGCCACGUCUAUCCCUCAGCAUUUUUUUAAUGACAUACCUUAAUUUCAAAAGUAAACUCUUCCCCAGUCAUUCAACAUCCAUUUGUUAUGGGCCUGCUAGUUAUGAUCUACUUAGGUACAAGGUUUGUUAAUUAACAUGUAAAUCAGGGUCUCUGUCCACGAUAUCCAGCAUAAUGAAUCUCAUUUACCCCUGUUCAGAUCUGUCUCUUUUCUUUCUACUCUGAGCUUAGAUUUGCCCCCAUGUAAGAAGUUUAAAUUUUUCAACAAAAAUUAAGUAUUUCUUUUUAACUAAAGCUGUUUUGAAGGCACACUCUAGUGAGAGUAGUCUGAUACAAAUGACACCAUUCAUAGUGAACAACUAACAGGUCAGCUGCAGAUUGAGUCAUGUUUUAACAAGUAGAGCAUGUGUGUGAACUCUGACCCCCAGGCAAGGUUUCUGCAACUUAACAAUUAAAAUAGUGAAUGUAAUAAUCUCCUGAAAACUAUUGUACAUGUCAGAAACUCUAACCAAAGUAGUAUUGCCAGGCAAGGUUUCUGCAACUUAACAAUUAAAAUAGUGAAUGUAAUAAUCUCCUGAAAACUAUUGUACAUGUCAGAAACUCUAACCAAAGUAGUAUUGCCAGGCAAGGUUUCUGCAACUUAACAAUUAAAAUAGUGAAUGUAAUAAUCUCCUGAAAACUAUUGUACAUGUCAGAAACUCUAACCAAAGUAGUAUUGCCAGGCAUUGUUCUUGAAAAAACUUACAAUAAGAGAAAAACUUUUUUUUUCCUGUUAUGCCUCUUUUUUUUCAGGAAGAAGCAAAAGGAAUCUUAAUGAAUUGGAGACAAUUGGAGGUGGUUUAUAAGGAUGAAGUUCAAAGGUUUUUCUUUAGAAGCCAUUGAGUUGGUAGUCUAGGAGAGCACCUUGUAGUGGUAUUUGCAUAAGGAGAAAGAUGUCAAAUAUUCAAAGAUGCCUUUACUCAAAGAGCCAGUGGCACUUAAGUGGCCAAAUAGCUUAUAAGCACUUAUUAAGGUAAGCAAAGCCUCACUCAUUGCUUGUUGUCAGACAUCUGAUUCUAAUUAUGGGAGAGCUAGAUAAACGAUGAUGCUUGGGGUAGAUAGAAGCUGGUAUGCCUUUUCUAAGCUCAUUAGUGCUUACAGCUUGCCAGUUUACACAUACACACACAAGGGGUCUGAAAUAAAGACUAGUUUCUGUGUUGUUUGUGUCUGUAUUCUAGUGAUAAUCUUCUGCAGGGAUAAAUACAGCUUCAGAUGUAACCCUAGAUUAAAAAAGCAAAAAAUAAAAAAAAACCUAGCUUUCAGUUCACAUUUUCUCAAAUCACCCUCCAGCCCUAACCCCUGGAGUAUCACUGGAGCUGUAUUACUGUUAUUUCUCCCUAAAUCACACAAUCCCAUUUCUCUACCGUUUUUUGCUUUCCCUAACUGCACUCUAACCCCUGCCACAACAAGAUCAAAAACAACAUCAAGGAAAACCCCACAAAGGUUUUGUUUAAAUUCCCUUCUACCUCACUUUCCAUCAAAUAAAUUCCUUAGAAGUCAUAUCAUGAUUAAUAUUGUUAGUUUUCAGUAGAAUCAUUCCACUAAUUUCACAAAAAUAUGAAUCAUAAAGAUAGAAGAUUGAACAUUAUUUAUAUAUUCUUAUUUCUUCUACUUUUUAUGUUAGAAUCCUAAAAAACAAAAAUUGAUUUUUACUAAUGUGUCAUUGCUACAUAUGAAGCAUAUAUGAGAAAAUUUACUUAAAUUUAACUCAGUUUACAGUAGCCUCACCCAGCUUGCUAUUACUAUUAUCUUUCAAUAAUUUUUCUCCCCAGCUGCUAUCAGCUGCUACUUAAACCUAUGUGCUUAAUAAAUAGAGUUGGGGUGAUUUUCAUUUCUAUUUUCUUCUUUUCCAUAUUUUCAAAAAUUUUCAAGAGAUUUUGUGAUACUGAUCACCUCCUUGAACUGGGGAAAUAACCAGGAAAUACAUUCCACGUCUCAUUGCCUCUGAAUAACCACAUGCACAAGCAACCAUCGCUUAAGGAAGACUCAGAAUCCUAGGGACAACAGAUCAUGUGUGGUUACAGGCACCAUUUUAAAGAUCAGGCUAGCUCUGAGUUGCCAUGGCAAACUAUUUGAAAUAGUCUGCUCUACAGAUUCUGCCUGCUGUAUGGGGUUGUUUAUAUAGUCCAGUGUAAAUGAUAUCACUGGGAAACAACUAAGCUCCUAUUACAAUGACUAAAAUCAACAAGCAAUGACUUGCCAACAUAAUACUUGUUUAUUCUCAUCUUGGUAUGUGUUUCGUGGAAUACUCCUUACAAUUACCAUACACUUAAAAGGGGAAAUUUUACUGAAUGUAAAUUUU
Molecule: long non-coding RNA, 7179 nt
Filed under: Sus scrofa (pig)
Lineage: Eukaryota; Metazoa; Chordata; Mammalia; Artiodactyla; Suidae
Description: lncRNA (ENSSSCG00015001526.1)
Source: RNAcentral